Molecule: long non-coding RNA, 1253 nt
Organism: Triticum aestivum (bread wheat)
Lineage: Eukaryota; Viridiplantae; Streptophyta; Magnoliopsida; Poales; Poaceae
Exons: 4
Source: RefSeq, a predicted model, not a curated record
CAGAAAUGUGCGCGCACGUCCGGUCCGUGGUCUAGGACGUUGCCUUUUUCCCGUCGGUAGUGUCUUCUCCAUUUUGUGGGUUCGAGACUGAGAGGUGGCAGCGACGAGCGGCGGCGGCUAGAAGCCAUGGAGUUCCUGAUGUGCAGUAGCAGAUACGCGGAUCUACUCUCCUUGAGGAGGUUGGCGAGAGUACAGUGCCGCCUCCCGCGGCAGCAGUUGGUGUGGUGGAGCGGGCACGGUCGCCGUUCCAUAAGGAGGCGGCAGAUAAACAAGUUCUGCAAGCGGGUAUGCUGGAGUAGGCACCGCCAUUGGGCGAACCCAUGGCAGCGGAUCUGGGUGCAGGGGAGGUGGUGCCGGCGGGUGCGAGCGCGGAAGGUCAACUCUGGGAUGCAAGCGGAGCGGUGGCAGAAAGGAGAGAGAGCUCCCCCGCGGGCUCCGAGCUGUCAACUGGGAAGAUGAACCCUCGGGCUGCUGGAUGGAACAAAAGACAAUUAAACCACCAAGAAAUGCGUCACAUUCUCAAGGUCAACGCGGUGGGACACCUCUUAGUACUUGAACAUCUAAAUUUGUGCCACAAGUUCUCUGAUGUCUAGCGUUUUCUCAAGGAUGCCAAGUAUCCCAAGAUCUUUUGCAAGGCUCUUUGGUCGCAUAUAGAGGGUUCAGGAGGUGAAGCAAUUUUGGGAGGUACUUUGUGAGGAAUGCAUAAUCACCAAAUUGAUUACUGUCAAAGAACACUUGCAAGGAGUAGUUUGUCGGAGCAGCUGCAAUGCAUAAUCCGAUAAGUGAAAAACAAGGCUAAGAAUGGGGGAGCUAGCAGCAGACAUGUACACCCAAGAUGACACCGUGGACAUCAAGGGCAAACCGGCCCUCAAGAACACCGCCAACUAGCGGUUUGACAUCCUCUGAUGCAGCCCGUACAUUAUCAAGUCCAGGCAACGGUAUCCGGUCAGCAACAGUUGCAAAUGCCAGCAUUAAGCAUGGAUGGCAAGAUCUGUGCGCCGGAUGGCACGGUGGAUGUUGGACGGCAAGGUUCACCGCCGGCGUCGGAGCAGUCGGUAGGUGAGAUGGAUCCUAAAGCUCCUAGGUAGAUGCGAAGGUAUGUCGAUUUUCAGUGCUACAAAAUCUGGAAGUAGUGGCUGAAAUCUGAACUGAUGACUAUAGAUCUAAUAUUUUUUAUGUGAGGACUCUCAAUGUAUCACUCCUAGCAGUUGAUGAAUAAACAUUUUAUCAAGUAUUUCCAUCUUCGAAAUUCA